RNAcentral lists this ribosomal RNA (482 nucleotides) under uncultured bacterium. Its description in RNAcentral is "partial 16S ribosomal RNA". It matches the Rfam family "Bacterial small subunit ribosomal RNA", at positions 30 to 507 of the family's 1533-position model. The record is from RNAcentral.
AUUGAACGCUGGCGGCAUGCUUUACACAUGCAAGUCGAACGGUAACAGGCCGCAAGGUGCUGACGAGUGGCGAACGGGUGAGUAAUGCAUCGGAACGUGCCCAGUCGUGGGGGAUAACUACUCGAAAGAGUAGCUAAUACCGCAUACGAUCUAUGGAUGAAAGCGGGGGACCGUAAGGCCUCGCGCGAUUGGAGCGGCCGAUGUCAGAUUAGGUAGUUGGUGGGGUAAAGGCUCACCAAGCCAACGAUCUGUAGCUGGUCUGAGAGGACAACCAGCCACACUGGGACUGAGACACGGCCCAGACUCCUACGGGAGGCAGCAGUGGGGAAUUUUGGACAAUGGGCGCAAGCCUGAGCCAGCAAUGCCGCGUGCAGGAAGAAGGCCUUCGGGUUGUAAACUGCUUUUGUACGGAACGAAACGGCUCUGGUUAAUACCCGGGGGUAAUGACGGUACCGUAAGAAUAAGCACCGGCUAACUACGUG